AACGAACGCUGGCGGCGUACCUAACACAUGCAAGUCGUACGAGAAAUUCCGAUUCGUCGGGAGAGUAAAGUGGCGAACGGGUGAGUAACACUAGGGUAAUCUUCCCUUAAAUAAGGGAUAACGUUGCGAAAGCGACGCUAAUACCUUAUAAGACUACGAUCUCUUAGGAGAUAGUAGGAAAAGAUGGCCUCUGUUUCAAGCUAUCGUUUAAGGAUGAGCCCUAGCACUAUUAGCUAGUUGGUGAGGUAAUGGCUCACCAAGGCGACGAUGGUUAGCUGGUCUGAGAGGAUGACCAGCCACACUGGAACUGAGACACGGUCCAGACUCCUACGGGAGGCAG
RNAcentral lists this ribosomal RNA (340 nucleotides) under uncultured Pseudomonadota bacterium. RNAcentral describes it as "bacterial SSU rRNA". It matches the Rfam family "Bacterial small subunit ribosomal RNA", at positions 29 to 351 of the family's 1533-position model. The record is from RNAcentral. Lineage: Bacteria; Pseudomonadati; Pseudomonadota.